UACACUCCUGCGGGAGGCAGCAGUGGGGAAUAUUGCACAAUGGGCGCAAGCCUGAUGCAGCCAUGCCGCGUGUAUGAAGAAGGCCUUCGGGUUGUAAAGUACUUUCAGCGGGGAGGAAGGCAAUACGGUUAAUAACCGUGUUGAUUGACGUUACCCGCAGAAGAAGCACCGGCUAACUCCGUGCCAGCAGCCGCGGUAAUACGGAGGGUGCAAGCGUUAAUCGGAAUUACUGGGCGUAAAGCGCACGCAGGCGGUCUGUCAAGUCGGAUGUGAGAUCCCCGGGCUCAACCUGGGAACUGCAUUCGAAACUGGCAGGCUUGAGUCUUGUAGAGGGGGGUAGAAUUCCAGGUGUAGCGGUGAAAUGCGUAGAGAGCUGGAGGAAUACCGGUGGCGAAGGCGGCCCCCUGGAGAAAGACUGACGCUCAGGUGCGAAAGCGUGGGGAGCGAACAGGAGUAGAAACCCUUGUAGUCCCAUG
RNAcentral lists this ribosomal RNA (476 nucleotides) under uncultured organism. RNAcentral's name for it is "partial 16S ribosomal RNA". It matches the Rfam family "Bacterial small subunit ribosomal RNA", at positions 332 to 799 of the family's 1533-position model. The record is from RNAcentral.